This 538-nucleotide long non-coding RNA is filed under the name Nicotiana benthamiana. RNAcentral describes it as "long non-coding RNA (NBEN_LNC021365)". The record is from RNAcentral. Lineage: Eukaryota; Viridiplantae; Streptophyta; Magnoliopsida; Solanales; Solanaceae.
AGCCCUACAUCGGGGUGUCACUAGUCAUGAGCUACUGCAGAAUUCGCUAAAGAACUACAAGUCCAAAAAUGGGAACAAAGUCUGAAAUUAAUAUGAAUAAAAUAAAAUAAGGGAGAAGAUUCAGUGCCGCGAACACUAGCGGUCACUUGGCUCAGCUACGAUAACAAUUCUUCAAUCUGCUAAUAACCCGCUAUCGGACGAACAAUACCUGCAGCUGCACGCGAGGUGUUGGAAGUAAAGUGAGUACUUCCAACUCAGUGGUAAUAAGAGUAAAUAAUAAUUGAGCGAUAAUAAAUCACGUAAGAAACCUCAGGGGUUGGACCUAGUGGCAAUUGGCUUGAGCCUUGGGGUUUGAUCCCUUUCAAAGUCUCAAGUUCGAAACCCACUGGGUGCAAAUAAUUUCUUAGGGCCAUCGAACUGGUUAAAACCUGAAUUAACCGUGGUGCACUUGUGGGAAACUCCUUGCCGAGGGCCUGUGCACCCCCUGAUUAGUCGGGGAUAGAAGAGACUCGGACACCCGGUGCAAAUCAAAAAAAAA